CCUACGGGGGGCUGCAGUGGGGAAUAUUGGACAAUGGGCGAAAGCCUGAUCCAGCCAUGCCGCGUGUGUGAAGAAGGCCUUCGGGUUGUAAAGCACUUUCAGUGGGGAAGAAAGCCUUGGGGCUAAUACCCUCGAGGAAGGACAUCACCCACAGAAGAAGCACCGGCUAACUCCGUGCCAGCAGCCGCGGUAAUACGGAGGGUGCGAGCGUUAAUCGGAAUUACUGGGCGUAAAGCGCGCGUAGGCGGUCUGAUAAGCCGGUUGUGAAAGCCCCGGGCUCAACCUGGGAACGGCAUCCGGAACUGUCAGGCUAGAGUGCAGGAGAGGAAGGUAGAAUUCCCGGUGUAGCGGUGAAAUGCGUAGAGAUCGGGAGGAAUACCAGUGGCGAAGGCGGCCUUCUGGACUGACACUGACGCUGGGGUGCGAAAGCGUGGGUAGCAAACAGGAUUAGAUACCCGGGUAGUC
RNAcentral lists this ribosomal RNA (465 nucleotides) under Vreelandella stevensii. Its description in RNAcentral is "partial 16S ribosomal RNA". It matches the Rfam family "Bacterial small subunit ribosomal RNA", at positions 338 to 795 of the family's 1533-position model. Lineage: Bacteria; Pseudomonadati; Pseudomonadota; Gammaproteobacteria; Oceanospirillales; Halomonadaceae. The record is from RNAcentral.